AAAAAAGUAUAAGUAUGUCCCAUACACUAUUUGGGAUAUAUUUAUACUAAAA
Molecule: microRNA precursor, 52 nt
Filed under: Myotis lucifugus (little brown bat)
Lineage: Eukaryota; Metazoa; Chordata; Mammalia; Chiroptera; Vespertilionidae
Description: mir-1302 microRNA precursor family
Rfam family: mir-1302 microRNA precursor family
Source: Rfam by way of RNAcentral